AGAACGAACGCUGGCGGCAUGCCUAAUACAUGCAAGUCGAACGAACUCUUCGGAGUUAGUGGCGCACGGGUGCGUAACGCGUGGGAAUCUGCCCCUUGGUUCGGAAUAACAGUUGGAAACGACUGCUAAUACCGGAUGAUGACGAAAGUCCAAAGAUUUAUCGCCAAGGGAUGAGCCCGCGUAGGAUUAGCUAGUUGGUGAGGUAAAGGCUCACCAAGGCAACGAUCCUUAGCU
This 234-nucleotide ribosomal RNA is filed under the name uncultured soil bacterium. Its description in RNAcentral is "partial 16S ribosomal RNA". It matches the Rfam family "Bacterial small subunit ribosomal RNA", at positions 26 to 288 of the family's 1533-position model. The record is from RNAcentral.